GCUCCUUGUCGGUGUGAUUAUGGAGAUGCAGGGAGCAGGUAUCCGUGUAUGGCACGGCCUAACGAACAUUUGUUCAUGUUUCAUGCCAUACUUUCAAACUCUGCAAUGUGACUGACUGAUGUGAACAUAAUGGGGCAGCUGCACAACCACAGGAAGAGGCAGAAGAUUUCUGUUGCUCUGCCAGUGGCUCAGCAGGAAUGUACUCAACUGGAUAAUACCUUUGUCUUCUGUGGUGGUGAAUAUAAUAAAAUUGCUCUGAAAGGGCAGAACUCCUGUAGCAGCAGCAUUUGGGGGACAUCGGAACUGUGACAAACCCCACUCGCUCAGUUCUCCAACGUCCGCAAAGCAGUAGUACC
This is a long non-coding RNA of Myiozetetes cayanensis, 356 nucleotides long. RefSeq lists it as uncharacterized. Lineage: Eukaryota; Metazoa; Chordata; Aves; Passeriformes; Tyrannidae. The transcript is spliced from 5 exons. The record is from RefSeq and is a predicted model, not a curated record.